UACGUAGGGGGCAAGCGUUGUUCGGAUUUACUGGGCGUAAAGGGCGCGUAGGCGGCGCGUAAAGUCGGACAUGAAAUCAUUGGGCUUAACCCAAGGGCUGUGCCCGAUACUUGCGGGCUUAGAGUGCGGGAGAGGCAAUCGGAAUUCUCGGUGUAGCGGUGAAAUGCGUAGAUAUCGAGAGGAACUCCGGUGACGAAGGUGGGUUGCUGGACCGACACUGACGCUGAGGCGCGAAAGCUAGGGGAGCAAACGGG
This 254-nucleotide ribosomal RNA is filed under the name uncultured bacterium. RNAcentral's name for it is "partial 16S ribosomal RNA". It matches the Rfam family "Bacterial small subunit ribosomal RNA", at positions 524 to 776 of the family's 1533-position model. The record is from RNAcentral.